This 253-nucleotide ribosomal RNA is filed under the name uncultured bacterium. RNAcentral describes it as "partial 16S ribosomal RNA". It matches the Rfam family "Bacterial small subunit ribosomal RNA", at positions 524 to 776 of the family's 1533-position model. The record is from RNAcentral.
UACGAAGGGUGCUAGCGUUGUUCGGAAUCACUGGGCGUAAAGCGCGCGUAGGCGGCUUUACAAGUCAGGGGUGAAAUCCCACAGCUUAACUGUGGAACUGCCUUUGAAACUGUAAAGCUAGAGUGUCGGAGGGGAUAGCGGAAUUGCUAAUGUAGAGGUGAAAUUCGUAGAUAUUAGCAGGAACACCGGUGGCGAAGGCGGCUAUCUGGACGACAACUGACGCUGAGGCGCGAAAGCGUGGGGAUCAAACAGG